This 400-nucleotide ribosomal RNA is filed under the name uncultured bacterium. RNAcentral describes it as "bacterial SSU rRNA". It matches the Rfam family "Bacterial small subunit ribosomal RNA", at positions 29 to 412 of the family's 1533-position model. The record is from RNAcentral.
AACAAACGCUGGCGGCGUGCCUAACACAUGCAAGUCGUAUGAGAAAGUCGGCUUCGGCCGAUGAGUACAGUGGCGCACGGGUGAGUAACGCGUGGGUAAUCUACCCCUCGGUCAGGAAUAACCCGCCGAAAGGCGGGCUAAUACCCGAUAACACUGACGCUCUGCGGAGUGUCUUUCAAAGAAGGCCUCUGUUUACAAGCUUUCGCCGGAGGAUGAGCCCGCGUACCAUUAGCUAGUUGGUGAGGUAACGGCUCACCAAGGCAACGAUGCGUAGCCGACCUGAGAGGGUGAUCGGCCACAUUGGAACUGAGACACGGUCCAAACUCCUACGGGAGGCAGCAGUGGAGAAUCUUGCACAAUGGGGGAAACCCUGAUGCAGCAACGCCGCGUGAAGGAAGAA